UUUUUGUUUUCAAAAGGAGAAGCAGGGCGAAAUUCCCUCACAGUCACGCUACCGUACAGUCGGAUCGCCUGCCGAAAA
This 78-nucleotide non-coding RNA is filed under the name Firmicutes bacterium CAG:41. RNAcentral also lists the same sequence under 1 other name. Lineage: Bacteria; Bacillati; Bacillota. The record is from RNAcentral.